This 72-nucleotide transfer RNA is filed under the name Camelus ferus (Wild Bactrian camel). It matches the Rfam family "tRNA". Rfam says of the family: Transfer RNA (tRNA) molecules are approximately 80 nucleotides in length. Lineage: Eukaryota; Metazoa; Chordata; Mammalia; Artiodactyla; Camelidae. The record is from Rfam by way of RNAcentral.
GAGGGUAGAGCCCAGGGGAAGAGCGUGUGCUUAGCAUGCACGAGGUCAUGGGUUCAAUCCCCAGUUCCUCCG